This 958-nucleotide ribosomal RNA is filed under the name Omnidemptus graminis. Its description in RNAcentral is "partial 28S ribosomal RNA". It matches the Rfam family "Eukaryotic large subunit ribosomal RNA", at positions 1 to 963 of the family's 3401-position model. The record is from RNAcentral. Lineage: Eukaryota; Fungi; Ascomycota; Sordariomycetes; Magnaporthales; Magnaporthaceae.
CCGCUAAACCCCCCCUUUUACAAGGUUGACCUCGGAUCAGGUAGGAAUACCCGCUGAACUUAAGCAUAUCAAUAAGCGGAGGAAAAGAAACCAACAGGGAUUGCCCUAGUAACGGCGAGUGAAGCGGCAACAGCUCAAAUUUGAAAUCUGGCCCUAGGCCCGAGUUGUAAUUUGCAGAGGAUGCUUUUGGCGAAGUGCUUACCGAGUCCCCUGGAAUGGGGCGCCACAGAGGGUGAGAGCCCCGUAUGGUUUGACACUGAACCUUUGUAAAGCUCCUUCGACGAGUCGAGUAGUUUGGGAAUGCUGCUCUAAAUGGGAGGUAAAUUUCUUCUAAAGCUAAAUAUUGGCCAGAGACCGAUAGCGCACAAGUAGAGUGAUCGAAAGAUGAAAAGCACUUUGAAAAGAGGGUUAAAUAGCACGUGAAAUUGUUGAAAGGGAAGCGCUUGUGACCAGACUUGUGCCGGGCGGAUCAUCCAGCGUUCUCGCUGGUGCACUCUGCCCGGCUCAGGCCAGCAUCGGUUUUCGCCGGGGGACAAAAGCUUCAGGAACGUAGCUCCCUCCGGGGAGUGUUAUAGCCUGUUGCAUAAUAUCCCGGCGGGGACCGAGGACCGCGCUUCGGCAAGGAUGCUGGCGUAAUGGUCAUCAGCGACCCGUCUUGAAACACGGACCGAGGAGUCAAGCAUUAGUGCGAGUGUUUGGGUGUAAAACCCGCACGCGUAAUGAAAGUAAACGUAGGUGAGAGCUUCGGCGCAUCAUCGACCGAUCCUGAUGUUUUCGGAUGGAUUUGAGUAGGAGCAUUAACGCUUGGACCCGAAAGAUGGUGAACUAUACUUGAAUAGGGUGAAGCCAGAGGAAACUCUGGUGGAGGCUCGCAGCGGUUCUGACGUGCAAAUCGAUCGUCAAAUUUGAGUAUAGGGGCGAAAGACUAAUCGAACCAUCUAGUAGCUGGUUACCGCCG